GAUGAACGCUGACAGAAUGCUUAACACAUGCAAGUCGAUGGGGAAGUGGUGCUUGCACCAUGGUAACCAUGGCGGACGGGUGAGUAACGCGUAAGGAACUUACCUGCGGGACCGGGAUAACAGCAGGAAACUGCUGACAAGACCGGAUAAGGUCAUUAAGCUGCAUAGCUUAGUGAUGAAAGGAGACGCCUGCGGAGAGCCUUGCGUCCUAUUAGCUAGUUGGAGGGGUAACGGCCCACCAAGGCGAAGAUAGGUAGCCGGCCUGAGAGGGUGGACGGCCACAAGGGGACUGAGAUACGGCCCCUACUCCUACGGGAGGCAGCAGUGGGGAAUAUUGGACAAUGGGGGCAACCCUGAUCCAGCAAUUCUGUGUGCACGAAGACGGUUUUCGGAUUGUAAAGUGCUUUCAGCAGGGAAGAAGGAAGUGACGGUACCUGCAGAAGAAGCGACGGCUAAAUACGUG
RNAcentral lists this ribosomal RNA (463 nucleotides) under uncultured bacterium. RNAcentral describes it as "partial 16S ribosomal RNA". It matches the Rfam family "Bacterial small subunit ribosomal RNA", at positions 28 to 507 of the family's 1533-position model. The record is from RNAcentral.